UACGGAGGGGGCUAGCGUUGUUCGGAAUUACUGGGCGUAAAGCGUACGUAGGCGGCUUUGUAAGUUAGAGGUGAAAGCCCCGGGCUCAACCUGGGAAUUGCAUUCGAGACUGCAUAGCUAGGGUGCGGAAGAGGGAAGCGGAAUUUCCGGUGUAGCGGUGAAAUGCGUAGAUAUCGGAAGGAACACCAGUGGCGAAAAGCGGCUUCCUGGUCCAGCACCGACGUCAGGCACGAAAGCGUCGGGGAGCAAACAGG
RNAcentral lists this ribosomal RNA (254 nucleotides) under uncultured bacterium. RNAcentral describes it as "partial 16S ribosomal RNA". It matches the Rfam family "Bacterial small subunit ribosomal RNA", at positions 524 to 776 of the family's 1533-position model. The record is from RNAcentral.